CUUCACUUCUCACUUUUUCUCUCCAAGAAAAUCUCUCACUCUUUCUCUCUAGCAAGGAUUAUCUUAAGAUUGUUCUUGGAUCUUUUGGACCAUCAAAUCUCCAAAUUUCUUUCAAGUGUUCUUGAUUUGAAACUUCUCAUCCACAACCUUCCACUUAUCAAGGAAAACACUUAAGGUAAUCACUAAAACAUGUAACUACUAGCUUUUGAGGAUGGGACGCUAAGACGUCAGACAAAUCAUUUUUUUAUCAUCAUAUUGUAACUGAUUUUGAAACAUGUAACUCAUGAAACAAUGUAACCCUUUUCAAUUAUAUUUAUGAUGGUUG
This is a long non-coding RNA of Lactuca sativa (garden lettuce), 325 nucleotides long. RefSeq lists it as uncharacterized. NCBI's taxonomy places the organism in Eukaryota, Viridiplantae, Streptophyta, Magnoliopsida, Asterales, Asteraceae. The record is from RefSeq and is a predicted model, not a curated record.